Molecule: ribosomal RNA, 478 nt
Filed under: uncultured bacterium
Lineage: Bacteria
Description: bacterial SSU rRNA
Rfam family: Bacterial small subunit ribosomal RNA
Source: RNAcentral
CGAACGCUGGCGGCAGGCUUAACACAUGCAAGUUGAACGGGAUUUGUGUGGUGCUUGCACCAUAUAAUGAGAGUAGCGCACUGGUGAGUAACACGUGGGAACGUGCCUUUUAGUGGGGGAUAACAUCUGGAAACGGAUGCUAAUACCGCAUACGCCCUGAGGGGGAUCGCAAGACCUCGCGCAAUUGGAGCGGCCGAUGCCCGAUUAGCUAGUUGGUGAGGUAAAGGUUCACCAAGGCGACGAUCGGUAGCUGGUCUGAGAGGACGACCAGCCACACUGGGACUGAGACACGGCCCAGACUCCUACGGGAGGCAGCAGUGGGGAAUUUUGGACAAUGGGGGCAACCCUGAUCCAGCCAUGCCGCGUGCAGGAUGAAGGCCUUCGGGUUGUAAACUGCUUUUGUCAGGGACGAAAAGGACCGUGUUAAUACCAUGGUCUGCUGACGGUACCUGAAGAAUAAGCACCGGCUAACUACGUG